Molecule: ribosomal RNA, 481 nt
Filed under: uncultured bacterium
Lineage: Bacteria
Description: partial 16S ribosomal RNA
Rfam family: Bacterial small subunit ribosomal RNA
Source: RNAcentral
UUGAACGCUGGCGGCAUGCUUUACACAUGCAAGUCGCACGGCAGCGCGGGGCAACCUGGCGGCGAGUGGCGAACGGGUGAGUAAUAUAUCGGAACGUACCCAGAAGUGGGGGAUAACGUAGCGAAAGUUACGCUAAUACCGCAUACGAUCUACGGAUGAAGGUAGGGGACCGCAAGGCCUUAUGCUUUUGGAGCGGCCGAUAUCUGAUUAGCUAGUUGGUGAGGUAAAGGCUCACCAAGGCGACGAUCAGUAGCUGGUCUGAGAGGACGACCAGCCACACUGGAACUGAGACACGGUCCAGACUCCUACGGGAGGCAGCAGUGGGGAAUUUUGGACAAUGGGCGCAAGCCUGAUCCAGCAAUGCCGCGUGAGUGAAGAAGGCCUUCGGGUUGUAAAGCUCUUUUGUCAGGGAAGAAACGGUAGAGGCUAAUAUCCUUUGCUAAUGACGGUACCUGAAGAAUAAGCACCGGCUAACUACGUG